RNAcentral lists this non-coding RNA (781 nucleotides) under Ripeacma umbellata. Lineage: Eukaryota; Metazoa; Arthropoda; Insecta; Lepidoptera; Oecophoridae. The record is from RNAcentral.
AAAAAAAUUUUUUAUGGUUUAGAAAAUUUAUUAUGAAUUUAUUUUACAUAUAAAUUUUAGUGUUGAUUUUUAAUUAUUUUAAUAAUAAUUAGAUAAUUGAAUAGUAAUUAAUAUUAAAAAUUUAAGAAAUUAAGAUUUAGUAAUAUUUGAAUUAUUAACAAAUUUUGUGCCAGCAGUUGCGGUUAUACAAAAAAUAAAUUAAAUUUUAUUAAUAAAUUAAUAAAUAAUAAGAAAUUAUUUAUAAAUUAAAUAUUAAAUUAUUAAGUGAAAUUUUAAUUUAAUUAAAAUUAUAAAUAAAAUUAUGAUUUAAUAAAUUUUGAAAUAAACUAGGAUUAGAUACCCUAUUAUUAAAAAAUUAAAUUUAAAUAUUAAAAUAGUAAAUAAUUUUAUUGAAACUUAAAUAAUUUGGCGGUAUUUUAGUUCAUUUAGAGGAAUCUGUCUAAUAAUUGAUAAUCCACGAAUAAAUUUACUUAAUUUAUUUAUUUUGUAUAUCGUUGUUAAAAAAAUAUUUUUUAAUAAUAAAUAAUAUUUAAUAAUUUUUAAUAAAAAUUAAAUCAGAUCAAGAUGCAGAUAAUAAUUAAGAAUAUGAUGGAUUACAAUAAAUUUAUUUAAAUGGAAAUUAGUUUGUAAGAAUUAAUUGAAGGUGGAUUUAAAUGUAAUUUUAUUUAAUUUAUUAAAAUGAAUAUAAAUUAAAAUAUGUACAUAUUGCCCGUCGCUUUCAUAAAUAAAUUGAAAUAAGUCGUAACAAAGUAGAGGUACUGGAAAGUGUUUCUAGAAAGAU